Vespula vulgaris is the source of this 830-nucleotide long non-coding RNA. RefSeq lists it as uncharacterized. The transcript has 3 exons. The record is from RefSeq and is a predicted model, not a curated record. NCBI's taxonomy places the organism in Eukaryota, Metazoa, Arthropoda, Insecta, Hymenoptera, Vespidae.
AUUUGUGAAACUGUAUAAAUCUAAUUUGAAGAGUAGGAAGAGGAAGUGGCUUUCAUUAAAAUUUGUUAGAUAUAGAUUUUAAGAAGUUUCAUCUAUAAAAUAAAUAAUUGUUUGUCAAUUGUUUAUAUAAAUAAAUAAGAAGAAACAGUGAAAAAUAUAAAUUUUUCUUUUAAUUUAUUUAUAAUAAGUUUAUGGAAGGAAUUGAAACUCGUGCCAUUCACUAUUUGAACAGUCGAAGAUAGACGUGUUAAUGGAAAGAUGAUAGAUUGGAAGAUUUUGAGAAAUAGGUAACGAAUAUAUAUAUCCAAUGUAGAAUCUUAGUGUUUUAUUAUCAAACUCAUAAACUAUCUAUCUACAUUACAAAAUAAUGUAUCAUAAAUUUAACUUGAUAUAAAUGAUUUUUGUGUAUGGAAAAGUUCGUACAAAAGUUUCCUAAUCUUGUGGUAUUGUUUAAUUACAACAUUAAUCUACAUACAUAGAAUAAUCUACUUAAAUUAAAGAUUCUUAUUAGUAAUCUACAUUUGUCACUAAAGUAUUAUGAAUUAUUUGUUUAUGCAUGAUAUAAAAGUGGAAAUAUUGGAAAAUCGAAUAAAUUCGAGAAUCCAAUAAAUUGCACUUUUUUACAAUAAGAUUUCAUACAUCUGUCUCAUUGUUCCAUAUGCAAAAACCAUAUUAUCAUAUAAUUUGUUUGAUGUAAUAAAUUUUUGUUUUAAACAUUUUUUUUAAAUGUUUCAUUACUAUAAAAAAUAAUUCAUAAUAUUCACAUUAUAUAUAUUUUUAAAUUUAUCUGACUAUAUUUAAAUUGCUUAUUAAAUCUCUACAUUAUUCUU